Molecule: long non-coding RNA, 716 nt
Filed under: Oryza sativa (Asian cultivated rice)
Lineage: Eukaryota; Viridiplantae; Streptophyta; Magnoliopsida; Poales; Poaceae
Description: long non-coding RNA (OSAT_LNC000642)
Source: RNAcentral
AUGAGACAACUGGACCUGAGAUUUGGAAGGCCACUGCUGGGAAAGUUGAUAUCCUUGUCUCUGGCAUUGGAACCGGUGGUACAGUAACCGGAACAGGAAAGUACCUCAAGGAGCAGAACCCUGAGAUCAAGGUAACUUAUAUACUCCCUCCGUCCCAUAAUAUAAGGGAUUUUAAGUUUUUGCUUGCACGGUUUGACCAUUCGUCUUAUUCAAAAAAUUUUAGAAUUAUUAUUUAUUUUCUUUGUGACUUACUUUAUUAUCCAAAGUACUUUAAGCAUAAUUUUUCGUUUUUUAUAUUUGCACAAAAUUUUUGAAUAAAACGAGUGGUCAAACAUUGUAAGCAAAAACUCAAAAUCCCUUAUAUUAUGGGACGGAGGGAGUACUUGUUUGCAUGUUUUUAUGGUUUUGUGUAUAUGUGAUGGUGACUUAACUGUGUACUAAUUUUGUCUUAAAGAUCUAUGGUGUUGAACCGACAGAAAGUGCAAUUUUAUCUGGAGGAAGACCUGGUAAGAUACUGCUCUUUGUAUAGCUCAACUUGCAUAAAUCACAUUAGUAAUACUAGUACUAUUUGUGAUGCAUAACUAUGGAUGUCAAAAAUUAUUUGAAACAUAGGGUGCACAGUAUGGAUGGUUCACGUAUUUGAUGUAAUAAUUUAGCUGUCUCGAUUCUGUUGAACCAUCAUGACAUUAUCACUGUUCCAUGUUUUUGGUUUCAGG